This 86-nucleotide transfer RNA is filed under the name Urbifossiella limnaea. RNAcentral's name for it is "Planctomycetes bacterium ETA_A1 tRNA-Tyr". Lineage: Bacteria; Pseudomonadati; Planctomycetota; Planctomycetia; Gemmatales; Gemmataceae. The record is from RNAcentral.
GCCUUCGGACGUGCGGUGGUCCGCCGGGCCGCCUGUAAAGCGGCCGCCCCGUGGGGCAAUGUGGGUUCGAUUCCCACCCGGGGCAC